CUACGGGUCGCAGCAGUCGAGAAUCUUCCGCAAUGGACGAAAGUCUGACGGAGCGACGCCGCGUGCGGGAUGAAGGCCUUCGGGUUGUGAACCGCUGUCAGUGGGGAGGAAAUGCAUCAGGGUUCUCCCUGGUGUUUGACCGAUCCGCAGAGGAAGCGCAGGCUAAGUUCGUGCCAGCAGCCGCGGUAACACGAACUGCGCGAACGUUAUUCGGAAUCACUGGGCUUAAAGAGUCCGUAGGCGGCCUUUCAAGUCGGGUGUGAAAUCCCUCGGCUCAACCGAGGAAUUGCGCCUGAUUCUGUUGGGCUUGAGGGGGAUAGGGGUGAGCGGAACUGAUGGUGGAGCGGUGAAAUGCGUUGAUAUCAUCAGGAACACCGGUGGCGAAGGCGGCUCACUGGAUCUCUUCUGACGCUGAGGAACGAAAGCUAGGGGAGCGAACGGGAUUAGAUACCCGGGUAGUC
This 461-nucleotide ribosomal RNA is filed under the name uncultured bacterium. RNAcentral's name for it is "partial 16S ribosomal RNA". It matches the Rfam family "Bacterial small subunit ribosomal RNA", at positions 339 to 795 of the family's 1533-position model. The record is from RNAcentral.